Molecule: ribosomal RNA, 468 nt
Filed under: uncultured bacterium
Lineage: Bacteria
Description: partial 16S ribosomal RNA
Rfam family: Bacterial small subunit ribosomal RNA
Source: RNAcentral
GACGAACGCUGGCGGCGUGCUUAACACAUGCAAGUCGAACGGAAAGGCCCUGCUUUUGUGGGGUGCUCGAGUGGCGAACGGGUGAGUAACACGUGAGUAACCUGCCCUUGACUUUGGGAUAACUUCAGGAAACUGGGGCUAAUACCGGAUAGGAGCUCCUGCUGCAUGGUGGGGGUUGGAAAGUUUCGGCGGUUGGGGAUGGACUCGCGGCUUAUCAGCUUGUUGGUGGGGUAGUGGCUUACCAAGGCUUUGACGGGUAGCCGGCCUGAGUGGGUGACCGGCCACAUUGGUACUGAGAUACGGCCCAGACUCCUACGGGAGGCAGCAGUGGGGAAUAUUGCACAAUGGGCGGAAGCCUGAUGCAGCAACGCCGCGUGCGGGAUGACGGCCUUCGGGUUGUAAACCGCUUUCGCCUGUGACGAAGCGUGAGUGACGGUAAUGGGUAAAGAAGCACCGGCUAACUACGUG